Poeciliopsis prolifica (blackstripe livebearer) is the source of this 2001-nucleotide long non-coding RNA. RefSeq lists it as uncharacterized. NCBI's taxonomy places the organism in Eukaryota, Metazoa, Chordata, Actinopteri, Cyprinodontiformes, Poeciliidae. The transcript is spliced from 2 exons. The record is from RefSeq and is a predicted model, not a curated record.
GAUUUUUCUUAACGCGAAGAGACGGUCAACAGUCGCCUUCCGACCUGCCGCCAUGUUUUUAGGACCUAGUGAACACUUUGUCAGUUUUAUGCUGAAGCUUUUCAGUGACAAACCACCCGAAACGACGAGAAUCAACAGGUGGAGCUAUAUGGAUCAGAACAUCCAUAUAGGCUGAUGUAUUCCAGUUAUUGAAACUAUAACGAUGUAUUCAAAGAUGAAGCUCAGAUUAGUUUUAGAUGUUGUUUUUGCAACAACAAGGAAACGCCGGGCUGUGAUCGGCUCCCCGCUAUCUGCAAAGCGAAGGUAGGAUUUGUUUUAUUUAUUUUUAUUUGUUUUAAGUAGGGUUGCUGUUUAUGAGGAUGUCCAAUGUACCGUGUAGUAAAUGCAUUUGAUCCAGCUUCCCUUUGCAUGAGUUACUGCAUCAGUGUGAUGUGACAUGGAGGCAAUUAGCCUGUGGCUCUGCUGAGGUUUGAGAUUGCUUUGAUAGCAUAAUUUGGGUGAGUUCCAUUAUUGCAAAUGGAGUCUCCAUGUGCCGUAUAGACUGCCUGUGGGGUUUAGGCCGGGUUAGGUGAGAUGAUAAAUUGAUCAAUAAAACAACUCUUGGUGCUCUUAGUGUGCAAGUGCUGCGGGAAAAUGAAAUCAGCAUCUCACUUUCGAAUUUAAAAUUGAAUUAAAAACACUGUUUUAUGUAUUGAUUUCCAUUUCAAAGUGUCCCAUAAAUACCCGCUUGAAGGAAGUUUUCUUGAUGAGUUGAUGGAAUGUGAAACGUCAAGGCUUUUUUGUUUUCAUUAGACGUGAUGAUGUAGAUUUGCCACAAGAUGUCAGUAUCAUCUUAUGUGCCUUAACCGAAGAAAUGAAGCAUCUUCAUUCAAAAAGGAAUUACCAGUUGGGAGCUUCUGCUUCUGGAAGUUAAAUCUCACCAAAAAAGAGAUGUCGCUUCUCCUUUCUCUCCUCUUUCCUCAGACAAUAAGAGCUGGAGACGGAUGAGGGAGCCGUCGGAGUAGAUUAUUCCAUCUGGAGUCUCCUGAAAUCUACAGCCGCAGCCGUCCUCCUCGGGAAGAGCAACGAUGACGUCAAGCUUGGACUUUGCUUCACUUUUUGGCCAGUGAUAUCUUUUAGCUUUGAUUUACUGUUAAAAAUGUAGAGGGCGCGGUGUUUUCAGUCCAUUUAAAAACUCUUUCUCACCUUAUUUCUCCGCAAACGAGGUGCAGAAUUAUCCUGACAAAUGCGGGCAUGGCAGAUACGAUAAACGAAAACAUCAUUUAGACAAGUUAUGAUUUGUGAGUAGGAAGGCAGCAAUAUGCUCUUGUCCUAAAGGGAAAUUUUCUCUUAUUGUCUUCCUUCUCCUGCAGAGGGUCUCCAUCAUCCUAAUGAUGUGGGCUCUCCUUUACCAUCAGGAAGCGUAAAUAGAGAUCCUUUCUUGUGCAGUUUGGGAUGCAGCACCAUUAUUAGCCUCAUACGCAUACCAUAAUGAAGAUGAGGACAGAUCAGUUUUAUUUGUACUCUGCAGCAGUAAACGUAAAUUUCUCGUUCUUUCCACAGGCGAAUUCUGAGUGGCUUCAAAGUUCAGCCUCCCCUCUUUCUCGUCUUCUGUGGUGUUUUAAAGGAGCAAUUGAAAUCUGCAAGUAUUCAUCAAUAUGAUGUUGAUGAACAUCAGUAUGUCUUGAAUCUGCUGAUUCAAAAAAUCAGCAAAUUUUUUGAAAUCGGAAGUCGUUUAUAUGCAUUAGACGCCCCGAGCCUCAUCCUCAGGCUUACAGCUUUUUUCUUUUUCUUUCCUCUUUUGCAUUUUGCAGCAGAUAUUACAGCUUUUUAGCGAACCGGUGGUUAUUCCGACCGGUUGCGCUUAUUGCUCAAGAAGAGGAAACAAUGGGGACACUUGAUUUUUACAGCCGGUGUCUGGUGAACAUGUUUAACAGCGAGCGUCACAGAUUUACCUCGGUGUUACUAUGCUUUGACUUUUACAGUUUACUGGGCUAUAAAAUAAAGUGUUUUGGAUCAGCA